UACGUAGGGGGCAAGCGUUGUCCGGAAUCAUUGGGCGUAAAGCGCGCGUAGGCGGCCCGGUAAGUCCGCUGUGAAAGUCCAGGGCUCAACCCUGGAAAGCCGGUGGAUACUGUCGGGCUCGAGUCCGGAAGAGGCGAGUGGAAUUCCUGGUGUAGUGGUGAAAUGCGUAGAUAUCGGGAGGAACACCAGUGGCGAAGGCGACUACCUGGCCCACUCUUGACGCUGAGGCGCGAAAGCUAGGGGAGCGAACGGG
RNAcentral lists this ribosomal RNA (253 nucleotides) under uncultured bacterium. Its description in RNAcentral is "partial 16S ribosomal RNA". It matches the Rfam family "Bacterial small subunit ribosomal RNA", at positions 524 to 776 of the family's 1533-position model. The record is from RNAcentral.